Non-coding RNA from Cladophialophora yegresii CBS 114405, 394 nucleotides. The record is from Rfam. NCBI's taxonomy places the organism in Eukaryota, Fungi, Ascomycota, Eurotiomycetes, Chaetothyriales, Herpotrichiellaceae.
CGCUCCCCAUCCGCUGCGUUCUCUGCUACAAACAACGAGGUGCUCCUGUUGUCUCAACAGUUGAGCCCUUGUUCUGCUCUUGCAGAUGAGAAAUUCGGAGUAAUCUUCAAAAGUCCACCUCUGCCCCGGAUCAUUCUCGAUCUAAGGCACAUGGUACCGCCCGCGAGGGCCCGGCACGAUUUCGUGCUCGCGACCGGCAUCAGAAAUUUACAGGGCCUCAAGGCCAACACUCUCGUAGUGUUCGUGUCUUGGGGGAUUCCCUAUGGAAGAGCCGUCGCGAAGAUUGUUUGGGCGCGAAAGCGUACCUCACUUUAGUGCAAUCGCAGCGGAAAUCUAGCAUUCCAUUAUCUUGGAUGGCUCGGUUUCAAUUCGAUUCCGAUUACUCUGGGGAGCG